Molecule: ribosomal RNA, 253 nt
Filed under: uncultured bacterium
Lineage: Bacteria
Description: partial 16S ribosomal RNA
Rfam family: Bacterial small subunit ribosomal RNA
Source: RNAcentral
GACGAACUGCCCAAACGUUGUUCGGAAUCACUGGGCUUAAAGGGCGCGUAGGCGGCUUACCAAGUCAGGGGUGAAAUCCGGCAGCUUAACUGUCGAAGUGCCUUUGAUACUGGUGAGCUCGAGGGAGGUAGGGGCCCGUGGAACUUCCGGUGGAGCGGUGAAAUGCGUUGAUAUCGGAAGGAACGCCGGUGGCGAAAGCGACGUGCUGGACUUCUUCUGACGCUGAGGCGCGAAAGCUAGGGGAGCAAACGGG